AGAGUUUGAUCAUGGCUCAGACGACGCNNGNNGGCGCGCCUAACACAUGCAAGUCGACGGGGUGUCAGGCUUCGGUUUGGCACCUAGUGGCGCACGGGUGAGUAACGCGUGGGAACCUGCCCUGGGCUCCGGGACAACCGCGGGAAACUGUGGCUAAUACCGGAUGAUCCCCUGGAUCGAAGGUGAAGGGGGCAAAGAUUUAUCGGCCUGGGAUGGGCCCGCGUCCGAUUAGCUUGUUGGUGAGGUAACGGCUCACCAAGGCAUCGAUCGGUAGCUGGUCUGAGAGGAUGAUCAGCCACACUGGGACUGAGACACGGCCCAGACUCCUACGGGAGGCAGCAGUGGGGAAUCUUGGACAAUGGGGGCAACCCUGAUCCAGCGACGCCGCGUGGGUGAUGAAGGCCUUCGGGUUGUAAAGCCCUUUCACCGGGGACGAUGAUGACGGUACCCGGAGAAGAAGCACCGGCUACUCCGUGCCAGCAGCCGCGGUAAGACGGAGGGUGCUAGCGUUGUUCGGAAUCACUGGGCGUAAAGGGCGCGUAGGCGGCCUGGGAAGUCGGCUUGUGAAAGCCCGGGGCUCAACCCCGGAGGUGCGGCCGAUACUCUCAGGCUCGAGGUCGGAAGAGGAGGGUGGAAUACCCAGUGUAGAGGUGAAAUUCGUAGAUAUUGGGUGGAACACCGGUGGCGAAAGCGGCUCUCUGGUCCGAAUCUGACGCUGAGGCGCGAAAGCGUGGGGAGCAAACAGGAUUAGAUACCCUAGUAGUCC
RNAcentral lists this ribosomal RNA (766 nucleotides) under uncultured bacterium. RNAcentral describes it as "bacterial SSU rRNA". It matches the Rfam family "Bacterial small subunit ribosomal RNA", at positions 8 to 796 of the family's 1533-position model. The record is from RNAcentral.